Ictidomys tridecemlineatus (thirteen-lined ground squirrel) is the source of this 71-nucleotide non-coding RNA. NCBI's taxonomy places the organism in Eukaryota, Metazoa, Chordata, Mammalia, Rodentia, Sciuridae. The record is from Rfam.
GGGAUUGUGGCUCAGUGACAGAGUGCUUGCCUGGCAGGUGUGAGGCACUGGGUUCGAUCCCCAGCACCCCA